This 301-nucleotide ribosomal RNA is filed under the name uncultured bacterium. RNAcentral describes it as "partial 16S ribosomal RNA". It matches the Rfam family "Bacterial small subunit ribosomal RNA", at positions 509 to 807 of the family's 1533-position model. The record is from RNAcentral.
CAGCCGCCGCGGUAAUACGAGGGGGGCAAGCGUUGUUCGGAAUUAUUGGGCGUAAAGGGCGCGUAGGCGGUUUGACAAGUUUGGUGUGAAAUCUAUGGGCUCAACCUAUAGCCUGCAUCGAAAACUGUCGGGCUUGAGUAUGGGAGAGGUGAGUGGAAUUUCCGGUGUAGCGGUGAAAUGCGUAGAUAUCGGAAGGAACACCUGUGGCGAAAGCGGCUCACUGGACCAUUACUGACACUGAGGCACGAAGGCCAGGGGAGCAAACGGGAUUAGAUACCCCCGUAGUCCCUGUCUCUUAUAC